UACGUAGGUCCCGAGCGUUGUCCGGAUUUAUUGGGCGUAAUGCGAGCGCAGGUGGUUUAUUAAGUCUGGUGUAAAAGGCAGUGGCUCAACCAUUGUAUGCAUUGGAAAUUGGUAGACUUGAGUGCAGGAGAGGAGAGUGGAAUUCCAUGUGUAGCGGUGAAAUGCGUAGAUAUAUGGAGGAACACCGGUGGCGAAAGCGGCUCUCUGGCCUGUAACUGACACUGAGGCUCGAAAGCGUGGGGAGCAAACAGG
This 252-nucleotide ribosomal RNA is filed under the name uncultured bacterium. Its description in RNAcentral is "partial 16S ribosomal RNA". It matches the Rfam family "Bacterial small subunit ribosomal RNA", at positions 524 to 776 of the family's 1533-position model. The record is from RNAcentral.